CGAAUUAUUCACAAAUUAUUAUUUACAUAUGGACAACAAGUUUAACAAGUUUUCUUUGGAAGUAGGGCCCCUUGGCUGGGACUGAGCCUGUGCAGCCUGGUGGGAGGGGCAUGUGGUGACGUCAGGAAGUGUUUAUUAUGUUUUUCAUUUUUUAAAGGUACCCAGAGCAACUUCUUGUUUAAAGAUACCAAAUUGGCAUUCUUACAUUAUCACUUCUAGAAUGUGCACUCUAUCUUAUGUUUCAGUUUGUCACCUACUCAGGUUUCCUGAGUACUCAGUUUCCUGUUCUUUCCUGUCCUGAGUACUGAGUCUCCUACUCAGUUUCCUGUUCUUUUCCUGAUUCUCAGCUUCUGCGAGGGGUUUCCAGCCCCUAGUGAGCCCGCAGAACUAGAAACAGGAGAACAGACAGGAGAAAGUAACGCACUUGCUGAUAGAAAAAUGGUCCAAAUGGUCCUUGAAAGCAAAAACAUUAAUUUUAUGUAAAUGUACCUUUUUCCAAAAGUACACAUAGGAUCCACUGCUCACUGUCUGCAAUGCAGGGCUCUCUGAAACAAAUGUCAUCUUCCUAAGUAGAAUGAAUCAUAGAAAUUCAGCUAUUUUUAAUCACUCUUUUGUGUAAAUUCUGAAAAACAGUAAUUCAGUAGAGGCUCAUGAAAUCCACAUGCCUAACACCUCUUCUGUCUUAUCAAGCAAAACUAGCACAUUUUAUUAGAACUUCAUUAAAACUCCUCUUAUUGCCUUAACUACAGGAUCCCUAGCCAUCGCUGUUUCUCUCUCCUUAAAGGCUUGUCUUCUGUAGUUUUAUUUGCCAUAUGCCAAGCUUUUGGGAACAAUUACUUUGGCCUUGCAUGUGAUUCAAUGUCUUCUAUCAGAUAAGGAGAUUCCUAUCAAAGGUGCGGUUUGUAGAACUGAAAGUGACCUGGAGUGAACUUCCAGUUUUUUGAUAAGAGACAAAGUUUCCUCUAGCUUUGUGAAUUGCAGUUAAUGAUUCAUGUCUAAUUGACAUUAGCAGUAUUAAACACAAAUUAAAUUAAGAAAAUUUGCUAGAUGGCUGUUAAAAAACAUCCCUUGUGUUUCUCAAAACAUUAUCAAUGAACAAGAACCUGUUAAACUUCACCUUGGGGAAAAACAUCAAUUCUGAAACAGCCUUUGGUAAUAUACACCUAAAAAUCUUGUUCUAUGAAGCUGUUCAGGCUUUCAUUUGAAUGCCUUUGUAAUUCACUUGCUCUAUAAAAUAUUGACUUUUGCAGUUUCAAAUAAUCCAUUCUUAUACGGGGUUCUCAAAAUAGUGGAGUUACAGACUUUGGCUUUAUUAGGAACAGUUGCUGAUGGAUGAUUUAAUCCCCGUGCUGUAGCUGCUGUGCCCAGAGGCAACUGCAGAAGGACACGCUCCAGAAGGUAACAGGGAAGCCGGGAAAGCCGAACUGAACCGAAUCUUUUGCGUGCGCGUCUUCCUCCUCCUCCUUCUUCGUGCAGGUCGCUAUUUACGGAAUGCUUCGGAGUGAAAACCUGCAAACUUCGGCAUCUUUGGGCGCCACGCCACGACCCCGUGCAGGGACCUGUUUGGUGCCGUUCCUAAGGCUGGGACAGGCUUUCCCAGCGGCAGUAGCCGCUAGCCCGGGGCUGGUACAGCCAGCCAAGCUGCCGCCAACAGCCGGGAGUGGGCAAGCCUGCCCGGGUGGAAGCGCUGCGGGGGGAAUUCUUCCAGGACAAAGCUGUUCCCUUGGCAGCAUCUCAACACGUUGUUUUCCAACCAGGUGCCAGCUGUCCCGUUGUCUCAUCCAGAAAGCAUUCCUACACAGAGAAAGAUUAAAACAAACAAACAAACAAACAAAAAAACCCCAACCAAAAUCAAAGCAAAACAUCAAACAUCGAAGCACAUCCCAAGUACCGCGGACCCACCCACCACACCCGGGGCCCCGCAGAGUCGCUCCUGCUCCCGGGCUCAGCUGCCGCCCCGCCCACGGCCGCACGGCAAGGGGCGCGCCGCCACACCCACGGGUAGCCGGGGCACUGGAGCUCCCGCCGCAGCCUUUCUUCCCUGGCCGGCGCCACCACCGGCCCCCACGAGCUACCGGGAUUCGGGCAGGGUCACCUCGUAGCCCAUUCCAGAGCCCUGCGCGCCCUCAACCCUCCUUCUCUGGGGGGCGGGAGGGGCACCUGGUAGCGCCGAGCUCCGCCCGCCGCCCAGCGCGCUCCGGGCAGC
Taeniopygia guttata (zebra finch) is the source of this 2206-nucleotide long non-coding RNA. The record is from Ensembl. Lineage: Eukaryota; Metazoa; Chordata; Aves; Passeriformes; Estrildidae.